Molecule: long non-coding RNA, 1117 nt
Filed under: Pan troglodytes (chimpanzee)
Lineage: Eukaryota; Metazoa; Chordata; Mammalia; Primates; Hominidae
Description: long non-coding RNA NONPTRT007308
Source: RNAcentral
UAUCAGUGUGCAUUGUGUGACGUAUGGGUAAGCACUGUUUCGAGAAUCUCCUGUUCCGGGAUGGAAAGGCACAGCGUGCGUGCAUGGGUUACACGGUAUGUCACAGCCAUAUCGUGGGUUCUGGUCAAAAGUGCUGGCCAGCGUGGCCACAGGUCAACCUCCAGCCCAGCCGGCACCAGCAGGUGUGCUGCUCUCUCCCCAGGUGUGCCAAGUGCAAGACCGUCUUCCACCAGAGCUGCCAGGCUGUGGUGAAGAAGGGCUGCCCCCGCUGUGCUCGCUGACGCAAGUACCAGCAACAGAACGUUUUCGCCUGAUGCCCCUCUGCUGAUCCCACUCUGAAGGCCGGGGGAAACCUGGCAGCGCCGGAGCCGCGCGGUCGAGGAGGGAGCGCGGGACGCCGAGCCCACGCGCGCCUGCCGGGACAAGUGGAGACGAGGCCGGCGAGCGGACGCCCCGAGGUUGGCGAAGGAGCUGUGGCCGGGUCCCCUUCUUAUCCAGCCCGAGACACUGCGCUCCGGUGGGCGUCCCUGCGCUGGGAAUCCCGCUCGGAGUUUUUCCAGGCCCGGCCGGGUUGCUCCGGGAAAGGCCCUGUUGGGGGAGGUGGGCCCGGAGCUGUCAGGUCUACAAUCCGGUUGGAAGGGCUCGCAGUGGGUGAUUCAGGGUGCCAAUGACCUCCCCACGAACGGGAACGCCCGCACUAGACAACCAGCCCCAGACCGGCAUUCCCAGAGCCGCAGGCGGGAGGGACGCAGGGACUCCGGGACAGCAAAUCCCCGGGGGAGAAGGGAAGGGGGAAGGCGGGGCAGGGGAGGCCCACCCUCCUUGGGCUCCGCUAGCGACCAGCCAGCGCCCCUUCAGACGCAGCCUUCCUGGCUCCGGAUCCCGGCUUUCUGCUCCGGUCCUCGUCCCAAUGCCCCCCAAGGUCCCCAGCAGAGGCAUUCAGGUUCCUCCUCGCCCCGCCCAGACGCAGCUUCUUUGGGUAUGGGUGACAGCACUCCUGAGCGUCGCUGUCCCUAUUCGCUGCCGUUGCCAGCUCCGAUUCCGCGAAACCUCUCCGGCACCACCUCGGAAGCCCCGCCCAGGGCGAUGGUCCGGGCCUAACCUGCCGGCCCCGCCC